This 202-nucleotide long non-coding RNA is filed under the name Sus scrofa (pig). Its description in RNAcentral is "lncRNA (ENSSSCG00015040722.1)". Lineage: Eukaryota; Metazoa; Chordata; Mammalia; Artiodactyla; Suidae. The record is from RNAcentral.
CUGAAGUGACUGAACCUUAUCCUAACCCAUCCACAGACCUACUUACACACAUAUAGAAAUAGAGUCUUUGGUAACUCACUCUCCCUCCUUCAGUAGUUCUGACCAGCAGCCGCACUGGAGGAGGUGGGGGCAGAGAGGAAGACGACGACGAGGGAGAGGGAGAAGAGGAGAGAAGAGCAAGUUCCCGUCGGGGCGCCCGGGA